GACGAACGCUGGCGGCGUGCUUAACACAUGCAAGUCGAACGGUAAGGCCCCAGCUUGCUGGGGUACACGAGUGGCGAACGGGUGAGUAACACGUGGGUGACCUGCCCCGCACUUCGGGAUAAGCCUGGGAAACUGGGUCUAAUACCGGAUAGGACCGCACCGUGAGGGUGUGGUGGAAAGUUUUUCGGUGUGGGAUGGGCCCGCGGCCUAUCAGCUUGUUGGUGGGGUAAUGGCCUACCAAGGCGGCGACGGGUAGCCGGCCUGAGAGGGUGGACGGCCACAUUGGGACUGAGACACGGCCCAGACUCCUACGGGAGGCAGCAGUGGGGAAUAUUGCACAAUGGGCGGAAGCCUGAUGCAGCGACGCCGCGUGGGGAAUGACGGCCUUCGGGUUGUAAACUCCUUUCACCAUCGACGAAGGUUUUCUGACGGUAGAUGGAGAAGAAGCACCGGCUAACUACGUG
This 464-nucleotide ribosomal RNA is filed under the name uncultured bacterium. Its description in RNAcentral is "partial 16S ribosomal RNA". It matches the Rfam family "Bacterial small subunit ribosomal RNA", at positions 28 to 507 of the family's 1533-position model. The record is from RNAcentral.